Molecule: ribosomal RNA, 253 nt
Filed under: uncultured bacterium
Lineage: Bacteria
Description: partial 16S ribosomal RNA
Rfam family: Bacterial small subunit ribosomal RNA
Source: RNAcentral
UACAGAGGUCUCAAGCGUUGUUCGGAUUCAUUGGGCGUAAAGGGUGCGUAGGCGGCGCGGUAAGUCGGGUGUGAAAUCUCGGAGCUUAACUCCGAAACUGCAUUCGAUACUGCCGUGCUUGAGGACUGGAGAGGAGACUGGAAUUUACGGUGUAGCGGUGAAAUGCGUAGAUAUCAGGAGGAACACCGGUGGCGAAGGCGGGUCUCUGGGCAGUAACUGACGCUGAGGAGCGAAAGCGUGGGGAGCGAACAGG